GACGAACGCUGGCGGCGUGCUUAACACAUGCAAGUCGAACGGAAAGGCCCUGCUUUUGUGGGGUGCUCGAGUGGCGAACGGGUGAGUAACACGUGAGUAACCUGCCCUUGACUUUGGGAUAACUUCAGGAAACUGGGGCUAAUACCGGAUAGGAGCUCCUGCUGCAUGGUGGGGGUUGGAAAGUUUCGGCGGUUGGGGAUGGACUCGCGGCUUAUCAGCUUGUUGGUGGGGUAGUGGCUUACCAAGGCUUUGACGGGUAGCUGGCCUGAGAGGGUGACCGGCCACAUCGGGACUGAGAUACGGCCCAGACUCCUACGGGAGGCAGCAGUGGGGAAUAUUGCACAAUGGGCGGAAGCCUGAUGCAGCAACGCCGCGUGCGGGAUGACGGCCUUCGGGUUGUAAACCGCUUUCGCCUGUGACGAAGCGUGAGUGACGGUAAUGGGUAAAGAAGCACCGGCUAACUACGUG
Molecule: ribosomal RNA, 468 nt
Filed under: uncultured bacterium
Lineage: Bacteria
Description: partial 16S ribosomal RNA
Rfam family: Bacterial small subunit ribosomal RNA
Source: RNAcentral